Molecule: ribosomal RNA, 253 nt
Filed under: uncultured bacterium
Lineage: Bacteria
Description: partial 16S ribosomal RNA
Rfam family: Bacterial small subunit ribosomal RNA
Source: RNAcentral
UACAGAGGGGGCAAGCGUUGUUCGGAAUUACUGGGCGUAAAGGGCGCGUAGGCGGCCCGCUAAGUCGAACGUGAAAUCCCCGGGCUCAACCCGGGAACUGCGUCCGAUACUGGUGGGCUUGAAUCCGGGAGAGGGAUGCGGAAUUCCAGGUGUAGCGGUGAAAUGCGUAGAUAUCUGGAGGAACACCGGUGGCGAAGGCGGCAUCCUGGACCGGUAUUGACGCUGAGGCGCGAAAGCCAGGGGAGCAAACGGG